This 404-nucleotide long non-coding RNA is filed under the name Rattus norvegicus (Norway rat). RNAcentral describes it as "long non-coding RNA NONRATT006827". Lineage: Eukaryota; Metazoa; Chordata; Mammalia; Rodentia; Muridae. The record is from RNAcentral.
CCGCGGCUCCUUUCCCCGCGCUGCGCGUCUGCCCCCGAGGACCUGGGGGUGCUGCUGGGACCCCGUGGUCUCCCACCCCCGCACCACCACCACCUACUGCCAAUCCUGUGCGGGACUGCAAAGUCCUCGCAGGGAGAGAGACAGAGAGAGAGCCCAGAGUGAGGCGUGCGUCUGGAAAGGGCAGUGCCGGGUGGUGGCGAGGCUGGGGCUCCAGUGCAUCAAAGGAGGCGUUUGUCUGAUUAAGGUGCCCACUGAUGGCAAUGCCGGUCUGCUGGCAGAACCCCAGAUCGCCAUGUUCUGUGGUAAACUCAACAUGCACAUGAAUGUGCAGAAUGGAAAAUGGGAGUCAGACCCAUCAGGGACCAAAACCUGCAUUGGCACCAAGGAGGGAAUCCUGCAGUACU